Molecule: long non-coding RNA, 715 nt
Organism: Paramormyrops kingsleyae
Lineage: Eukaryota; Metazoa; Chordata; Actinopteri; Osteoglossiformes; Mormyridae
Source: RefSeq, a predicted model, not a curated record
CUCUGCUACUCCAGCCUGCAGGCUUCUCACAGUGCCAACUGGCACACGGAGAUGUGGAUCUUCUUGUCUGUCAUCCUGAGUAGCCACUGGAGAAGAGUGUGAAAAGGGAAUAAGGAAGACAGGCACCUUAAACUCCUGUAGGGGCAGCGCUGAGCACACUGUUCCAACACAGCGCCAUGGUGCUGCCCGGGGUCGUCGUGGUUGGGGUGGGGACGACAGCCAGUUCUGUUUGCCAGAAUCUUAUCCAGCUCUACCCCACCGCUGGGUUACUCUUAGCUCAGCUCAGUCCUGGUGGCACAAACAUCUGAAUAUUCAAGCCCAAGAAAAUGAUCUUCAACUCUGUGUGUAUGCGAUGAGUAUGUCAACAAAUGAAAAUCUAAUGUAAUAUAGAGUAUUGUGUUUUCUGAAUUGUUGUCUGAUGCUUUUAAAUGUCUGUUUGAAUGACAUCAAAAGUGGUUUAAAUUCAAGAAAUAACUUCUUAUAAGAUCUUAUUAAAAACCAUGACUAUAGCAUUGAUGGUUCAGCAGUAGAAUUCUCCCCUACCAUGUGAGAGGUUCAGUUUGCAAAAAGGUUCAGGUGCCAAAGCAGGUAUGAUUGUCCUGCACUACUGCCUCUCUCCUAUCCCCUGAUGCACCAAACUCCUAUCCUGCUACUCUGAUAUAAGAAUUGCACCAUGUUCCUCUAAACACAUAUGGCAAUAAAAAUUGAAACAGCA